GGAUUGUGGCUCAGCGGUAGAGCGCUCGUCUAGCGUGUGUGAGGAGGUCCUGGGUUCGAUCCUCAGCACCA
Molecule: transfer RNA, 71 nt
Filed under: Marmota monax (woodchuck)
Lineage: Eukaryota; Metazoa; Chordata; Mammalia; Rodentia; Sciuridae
Description: tRNA.Ala
Source: RNAcentral